Metopolophium dirhodum (rose-grain aphid) is the source of this 816-nucleotide RNA transcript. It is a transcript of the gene named myosin light chain alkali, with no coding region annotated. NCBI's taxonomy places the organism in Eukaryota, Metazoa, Arthropoda, Insecta, Hemiptera, Aphididae. The record is from RefSeq and is a predicted model, not a curated record. The transcript has 7 exons.
GGUGGCUGCGGCCGAGCAGCGGGUCAGCAGACGAGGUGCACUUCAGUCGAUAUUCGUUCGCAUCGCCUUCCGAGGAUACACGUGCGAACCGAACACAGUCCAUUCACGAUUUGAACGCGCACUCAUUAAAAUGGAAUUGUCCAAAGACGAUAUUGAACGUGUGAACUUCAUCUGGGGUAUCUACGACAGUACCAAUGAAGGCGUCGACGCUUUCUACUUGGGAGAUCUGCUCCGCGCUUUGGAAAUGAACCCAACAUUGGCCACCAUCGAGAAGAUGGGUGGUACCAAAAAGAAGGGCGAAAAGAAAUUGAUGGUGGACGAGUUCUACCCAAUUUUCGCUCAAGUGAUUAAGGACAAAGACCAAGGAGUGUACGAAGAUUUCAUUGAGUGCCUGAAACUGUACGACAAAGCCGAAGACGGUCACAUGAUCGGUGGAGAACUGACACACAUCCUCCUCUCCUUGGGAGAGAAAUUGUCCGACGCGGAACUCGACGAAGUUGUCAAGGACUGCAUGGACCCCGAGGAUGAGGACGGUAUGAUCCCCUAUGUCCCGUUCGUAAAAAAAGUGAUGGUUCGCCUGAGCGACAUGAAAUAAAUUCCAUUUUAAGCGUUUAACGUUAAAAAAAAAAAAAAACCAUUAAAAAAUUAAAACUACCCGGACCAUUAUCCCGUUUCUGGCCAAAGUUUGCGGAAAGCCCGUACCGGCCGACGACAACCCGUUCAACAAGUAAAACCACACGCGCAUCGCUCCAACAAAAGCAAAUACACGUUAUUAUUUAUUUAUUAUUAUUAAUAUAAUUAUUAUUAUUAUUAUUA